This 71-nucleotide transfer RNA is filed under the name Loxodonta africana (African savanna elephant). It matches the Rfam family "tRNA". From Rfam's summary of the family: Transfer RNA (tRNA) molecules are approximately 80 nucleotides in length. Their secondary structure includes four short double-helical elements and three loops (D, anti-codon, and T loops). Further hydrogen bonds mediate the characteristic L-shaped molecular structure. tRNAs have two regions of fundamental functional importance: the anti-codon, which is responsible for specific mRNA codon recognition, and the 3' end, to which the tRNAs corresponding amino acid is attached (by aminoacyl-tRNA synthetases). tRNAs cope with the degeneracy of the genetic code in two manners: having more than one tRNA (with a specific anti-codon) for a particular amino acid; and 'wobble' base-pairing, i.e. permitting non-standard base-pairing at the 3rd anti-codon position. Lineage: Eukaryota; Metazoa; Chordata; Mammalia; Proboscidea; Elephantidae. The record is from Rfam by way of RNAcentral.
GCACUGGUGGCUCAGUGGCAGAGUUCUCGCCUUCCAAAAGGGAGACACAGGUUUGAUUCCUGGCCAAUGCA